This 253-nucleotide ribosomal RNA is filed under the name uncultured bacterium. RNAcentral describes it as "partial 16S ribosomal RNA". It matches the Rfam family "Bacterial small subunit ribosomal RNA", at positions 524 to 776 of the family's 1533-position model. The record is from RNAcentral.
UACGGGGGGGGCAAGCGUUGUUCGGAAUUACUGGGCGUAAAGGGCUCGUAGGCGGCCAACUAAGUCGGAUGUGAAAUCCCCAGGCUCAACCUGGGAACUGCAUCCGAUACUGGAUGGCUUGAAUUCGGGAGAGGGAUGCGGAAUUCCAGGUGUAGCGGUGAAAUGCGUAGAUAUCUGGAGGAACACCGGUGGCGAAGGCGGCAUCCUGGACCGGCAUUGACGCUAAAGCGCGAAAGCCAGGGGAGCAAACGGG